GUAGGUGGCAAGCGUUGUCCGGAAUUAUUGGGCGUAAAGCGCGCGCAGGUGGUUCUUUAAGUCUGAUGUGAAAGCCCCCGGCUCAACCGGGGAGGGUCAUUGGAAACUGGGGAACUUGAGUGCAGGAGAGGAAAGUGGAAUUCCACGUGUAGCGGUGAAAUGCGUAGAUAUGUGGAGGAACACCAGUGGCGAAGGCGACUUUCUGGCCUGUAACUGACACUGAGGCGCGAAAGCGUGGGGAGCAAACAGGGAUUGGGAUACCCUGGUAGUCCACGCCGUAAACGAUGAGUGCUAAGUGUUGGGGGGGUUUCCCGCCCCGUCAGUGCUGCAGCUAACGCAUUAAGCACUCCGCCUGGGGAGUACGGUCGCAAGACUG
This 376-nucleotide ribosomal RNA is filed under the name uncultured organism. RNAcentral's name for it is "partial 16S ribosomal RNA". It matches the Rfam family "Bacterial small subunit ribosomal RNA", at positions 527 to 896 of the family's 1533-position model. The record is from RNAcentral.